This is a non-coding RNA of Notechis scutatus (mainland tiger snake), 2590 nucleotides long. The record is from RefSeq and is a predicted model, not a curated record. Lineage: Eukaryota; Metazoa; Chordata; Lepidosauria; Squamata; Elapidae.
CCCUUGCCAAAUGCUUGCCAAAUGCUAAGGGAGGACGGGAAAAAGAAAACCAGUUUGCCCCAGAAAGCUUUAUCUCUCUUCAGGCCUCUGGUUCGUGUUUCCUUUUCUUCCUUGGUCCCAGCUUCCUUCCUGUCUGUCGCGGCUUUUCGAAGGCGGGGGGGGGGGGGGGGGGGGGGGGGGGGAAAGGGGAGAGAAGACGUGGGGUAACGCGUUGCGAGUCGUUAGCUUUCUCCAACCUAAUGCCAGCCUGAUGUGACAUAACUACAGCUUUCAUCAUCCUCAGCUAGCCGCCUGACGGGAGUUAUUGCCCAACCCCUCUGGAAGGCAUUAGAAACCGGCUGAUGGCGCUGCGCGUCCCCCACCUUAGAGAACGCAAGAAGUUACCGGAGGGAUCCCGCAUUCCUACUCCGCGCAUUUCAUGCAGAGCAGAAAGGAAGCUGGCCGAGCUGCAGUGGGAGAGUGGAAGGAAAAACAGCCCCUUCUUCCUGCGUCCCGAUCCCCAAUUUGUCGGCAGGGAGACCUGGUUUUCUCAGCGUAAGCCAACAAAAGGAGGCGACUCCAGUUGCACUUAUUUCCACCGCGCGUCCCGGUUACGGUUCGAGAAACCUGCGUUGAUAAAACAUUGGUUUAAGGUAACCCCGGGGUUCAGAGCGCCCCCUGAUGGAGCAGGGUUGCAAUAAUAAUUGUCGUUUUUGAACACCCGCUUGGGUGCUGUUGAGAGGAGAGGGCAGCCAACAAGACUUGCAAAACCAAAUCCCUUUCUUGUCCAAGCGGCCCCGAAAUACCAGAAAGGUGUAUAGUGAAGGCAUGCCAAGCCAACACCCACAGAACAAGCUCUGAGGUCACCUCCUCAUUUAUGUCCAGCUAAUCUUCCGAGAAAAGAGGACCGUGAGGCAGAAUGGGGACAGACCAAAGCUGAGCUGUGCAAAGAAAAAAAGAAUCGAAACAGGCAACUGCCCUUCUACAGUAAGAAAGUAUUAAAUGAGAAACAUGUGAAUCAUCAUAAUGGAAUGAACUGAAGAUGCUAUACUGCCAAAUGUUGCUGAAGGACAAUUCAGCGGCAUCUGAAUUCAGGAUUCUUCACCUCUCUCGGUCUCCUGGGAGCUGUUGGGAUUAAGAUGGUUCUCCUCCAGUCAUUGUUGUCUUGUGUUUCCCUUGAUACGGGUCUGGAUAAUUUAUGAUCCAUAUGAGCUGGAUAAACCUCCAGUUCUUACCUGCCUGGGCUUCAGCCUGUUAGCUGGGAAAGACCACACACAAGUCAGAGCUGACUCUUGGCUACUAAGUGGACACAUAAUCCACGCUGUUUUCUUGGAAGCAAAAUGGGAAUAGUGUGUCACAACCUUCUCCCAAGAUGUUUUUUUUUUCACAACUACCAACACUAACCUAAAACUUGGAUUCCUUGAUAUCCUCUCAGCUCCACUUGGCUUUCAAAACCAGACAAAGUGUUGAAAGCAUGAUUUUAUACAAUUAACCAGAAGUAAGGCCAAUUUAGGGGUAUUCACUUCUGUGAAUGAGUGUUAGAAUAUAUUAUGAAAUAGUCCAGCUAUAUGCACAUUUUCUUGUAAGUUUCACUAUUUUAAUGGGCUUUAUUCAUAGGUAGCUGGGAAAGUAGACUGAUUUAUUUUCAUUUGUAUGGUACAUUAGAACAAAUGGAAUUAUUAAAAAUAAGAGGAAAAAAAAGUUGUUCCAGGCUGCAAUCCUCCUGAGAAGAAACUCAUUCCUGAGCAACUCAUUCCUCAAGAUUAACACUGGGUGGAGCAGGCCUCUUUUCAGACAUUAACUUGGAUUAGAGUGACUAGAUAAUAUUGAUUUUGAGGGCGGCCAUGUUUAAUUUUCAAGGGGUUGUGAAAUGGACACGCUGACCAAUAUGUUAUUGCAUACCUGAAUCUGUUGUGGAAGUUUCAAAGAUAUUGUCCUGGAAGAUUUACAUUGCUUGCGUUAACAACUUCCUGUCCUACUUCUAGUGUUAAUUAACUGAGCAAAUCAAGGAUGAUUAUCUUAUCUCACCAAUUACUGCUGCUUUAAGUGAAUGGUCACCAUUGUUGUUUUACAAACGUGCUUCAAUUGGAUUCACAGGCUGGGCAUACUUUAUUUCAAAAACUUUUUAUGGCUACUGAGCCUCAUCACUCCAUAUUUGCAAAUAUACCUCAUCCCGUAGUCCAAAACGACAUCGGGCCAACAAUCUGAGCCUCACCAAUGACGUUAUUAAAUGUCAAUGCUGACUUCCUAAAGACCUUGGCUACCAGAAAUUAAACAUACAUAUAUAAUGGUUAUAGUUGUUAUUAUUUUUAAUUUUUAUCUAAAAUAUUUGAAAAGAGAUUUAUUCUAGUUAAGGGGACUUUUCAGAGCUUUCCAUCUCUUCUGAAAGCAUUUUUGGAAUGCAUUUAGGGUUUCUUCCUGGCCUUCUCUGAAGCUAGGUAUUAUUCUAUGAGUCGUAGAUUCUGAUUUACUUAUAAGAUUGCCUGCAUGCCAUCUGUACAUUGUGUGACAUAAUUGGACUUCUGUUGAACUGUUUUGUAGUGAUUAAAAAUGGAGAUGGGAACUGCUUGUGAGGAGCACAUGCUCAGAAUAAAUUAAUAUUCCAACUUUU